UUAGAUAUUAGGUGAUAUGGGCUCUGUCC
RNAcentral lists this non-coding RNA (29 nucleotides) under Mus musculus (house mouse). The record is from RNAcentral. Lineage: Eukaryota; Metazoa; Chordata; Mammalia; Rodentia; Muridae.